Molecule: ribosomal RNA, 135 nt
Filed under: bacterium 050608
Lineage: Bacteria
Description: partial 16S rRNA
Rfam family: Bacterial small subunit ribosomal RNA
Source: RNAcentral
UGGGGAAUCUUAGACAAUGGGCGCAAGCCUGAUCUAGCCAUGCCGCGUGAUCGAUGAAGGCCUUAGGGUUGUAAAGAUCUUUCGUGGGGGAAGAUAAUGACGGUACCCCAAGAAGAAGCCCCGGCUAACUCCGUG